CCAAUGAGCGAUGAUGAUAUGAUCGGCUACAUCAUAGCGGGUCUCGACACUGAGUACAACCCGCUGGUUUCCUCUAUCAUGACCAGGUCUGACUCGAUCGAUCUGUCUGAGUUCUAUGCCUAUUUUCUCUUCUAUA
Dioscorea cayenensis subsp. rotundata (Guinea yam) is the source of this 136-nucleotide small nucleolar RNA. RefSeq annotates it as small nucleolar RNA Z247. NCBI's taxonomy places the organism in Eukaryota, Viridiplantae, Streptophyta, Magnoliopsida, Dioscoreales, Dioscoreaceae. The record is from RefSeq and is a predicted model, not a curated record. The transcript has a single exon.